This 409-nucleotide ribosomal RNA is filed under the name uncultured bacterium. RNAcentral's name for it is "bacterial SSU rRNA". It matches the Rfam family "Bacterial small subunit ribosomal RNA", at positions 355 to 758 of the family's 1533-position model. The record is from RNAcentral.
UAGGGAAUUUUCCACAAUGAACGAAAGUUUGAUGGAGCGACACAGCGUGCAGGAUGAAGGUCUUCGGAUCGUAAACUGCUGUUAUAAGGGGAAGAAAAACUUUAGUAGGUAAUGACUAGAACUUGACGGUACCUUAUCAGAAAGCGACGGCUAACUAUGUGCCAGCAGCCGCGGUAAUACAUAGGUCGCAAGCGUUAUCCGGAAUUAUUGGGGCGUAAAGAGUUCGUAGGUGGUCUUGUCAGUCUGAAGUUAAAGCCCGGGCUCAACCCGCCCGCUUUGGAUACUGCAAGACUAGAGUAUUAGAGAGGUUAGUGGAACUCCAUGUGAAGCGGUGGAAUGCGUAGAUAUAUGGAAGAACACCAAUGGCGAAGGCAACUAACUGGCUAAUAACUGACACUGAGGAACGAAA